CUUAGUGAGGCUUUCGGACUGGCUCAGGGUGCGCGGCAACGCCUGCCCAGAGCCGGAAAGUUGUUCAAACUUGGUCAUUUAGAGGAAGUAAAAGUCGUAACAAGGUUUCCGUAGGUGAACCUGCGGAAGGAUCAUUACAAGUGAGGCUACCGAACGUUGGAAACAGCGGUUAGGAGCUUACACCCACCCGUGUUUACAUACUAUUGUUGCUUUGGCGGGCCGUGGCCUCCACUGCGGGCUCUGCUCGUGUGUGCCCGCCAGAGGACCAAACUCUGAAUGUUAGUGAUGUCUGAGUACUAUCUAAUAGUUAAAACUUUCAACAACGGAUCUCUUGGUUCUGGCAUCGAUGAAGAACGCAGCGAAAUGCGAUAAGUAAUGUGAAUUGCAGAAUUCAGUGAAUCAUCGAAUCUUUGAACGCACAUUGCGCCCUGUGGUAUUCCGCAGGGCAUGCCUGUUCGAGCGUCAUUUAACCACUCACGCCUAGCGUGGUAUUGGGGCACGCGGUCUCGCGGCCCUCAAAAUUAGUGGCGGCGCCGGUGGGCUCUAAGCGUAGUACAUACUCCCGCUAUAGAGUUCCCCCGGUGGCUCGCCAGAACCCCCAAUUUUUUACAGGUUGACCUCGGAUCAGGUAGGGAUACCCGCUGAACUUAAGCAUAUCAAUAAGCGGAGGAAAAGAAACCAACAGGGAUUACCUCAGUAACGGCGAGUGAAGCGGUAACAGCUCAAAUUUGAAAGCUGCCAACAGGCCGCGUUGUAAUUUGUAGAAGCUGCUUUGGGUGUCGGCCCGGUCUAAGUUCCUUGGAACAGGACGUCAUAGAGGGUGAGAAUCCCGUAUGUGAUCGGUGCCGUUGCCCGUGUAAAGCGCUUUC
Molecule: ribosomal RNA, 869 nt
Filed under: Ascomycota sp. RT-2012b
Lineage: Eukaryota; Fungi; Ascomycota
Description: eukaryotic LSU rRNA
Rfam family: Eukaryotic large subunit ribosomal RNA (bases 615-869)
Source: RNAcentral